This 231-nucleotide ribosomal RNA is filed under the name Giardia duodenalis. RNAcentral's name for it is "Giardia intestinalis partial small subunit ribosomal RNA". Lineage: Eukaryota; Fornicata; Diplomonadida; Hexamitidae. The record is from RNAcentral.
AAGGACGAAGCCAUGCAUGCCCGCUCACCCGGGACGCGGCGGACGGCUCAGGACGACGCUUGCACAACCCGCGGCGGUCCCUGCUAGCCGGACACCGCUGGCAACCCGGCGCCAAGACGUGCGCGCAAGGGCGGGCGCCCGCGGGCGAGCAGCGUGACGCAGCGACGGCCCGCCCGGGCUUCCGGGGCAUCACCCGGUCGGCGCGGUCGCGGCGCGCCGAGGGCCCGACGC